This 556-nucleotide ribosomal RNA is filed under the name uncultured bacterium. RNAcentral's name for it is "bacterial SSU rRNA". It matches the Rfam family "Bacterial small subunit ribosomal RNA", at positions 331 to 902 of the family's 1533-position model. The record is from RNAcentral.
CCAGACUCCUACGGGAGGCAGCAGUGGGGAAUAUUGGACAAUGGACCGAGAGUCUGAUCCAGCAAUUCUGUGUGCACGAUGAAGUUUUUCGGAAUGUAAAGUGCUUUCAGUUGGGAAGAAAUAAAUGACGGUACCAACAGAAGAAGCGACGGCUAAAUACGUGCCAGCAGCCGCGGUAAUACGUAUGUCGCGAGCGUUAUCCGGAAUUAUUGGGCAUAAAGGGCAUCUAGGCGGCCUGACAAGUCAGGGGUGAAAACCUGCGGCUCAACCGCAGGCCUGCCUUUGAAACUGUGAGGCUGGAGUACCGGAGAGGUGGACGGAACUGCACGAGUAGAGGUGAAAUUCGUAGAUAUGUGCAGGAAUGCCGAUGAUGAAGAUAGUUCACUGGACGGUAACUGACGCUGAAGUGCGAAAGCCGGGGGAGCAAACAGGAUUAGAUACCCUGGUAGUCCCGGCUGUAAACGAUGAUUACUGGGUGUGGGCAGGAAGACUGUCUGUGCCGAAGCGAAUGCGAUAAGUAAUCCGCCUGGGGAGUACGGCCGCAAGGCUGAGACUC